RNAcentral lists this transfer RNA (73 nucleotides) under Ovis aries (sheep). It matches the Rfam family "tRNA". From Rfam's summary of the family: Transfer RNA (tRNA) molecules are approximately 80 nucleotides in length. Lineage: Eukaryota; Metazoa; Chordata; Mammalia; Artiodactyla; Bovidae. The record is from Rfam by way of RNAcentral.
UCCCUGGUGGCUCAGGGAGUAAAAGCAGCUGCCUGCAAUGCGGGAGACCCAGGUUCAAUCCCUGGGUGGGGAA